GGUCUGCAGAAAAUAUAUACCCUUACAACCUUUUCUUUCAUGUUAAUUUUAAUAUCUUUAAGAUAUGUGACAAGGGUGCUCUAAUGCAGAGGAAUUUAUGAAGUUAAGAAGUCCGAAAUAUAUUUUUUGCACUUUUUUUGUCAUUUUUAGCUGAUUUUGGUUUGUAACCAAGGUGAUAUUUUUUAAAGAAUAAUUUUACAAAAGGCAUAGUUGAAGAACAUCUUGUUGAAAUUGGAUUGGUUGAUUUUUGGUGUUAAACACCACUUUAACAUGAUUAACUAUAAUAUUAGCUGUAAAUUUUUAUUUGUGGAGACAGCCAGAGUGCCUGGUGAAAACAUCACCUUCAUCAGGGAAACGGGCAAACCCUAGUCAAAUUAAGAAUGAAGUUACACAUUUCAUGUGAGGGUUCUCAGUGUUGACAGGCUAGUGAUACAGUAGUUGAACUACUUAUAGGACCACUCAGCCACCAUAAGUCGAUCAGUACGAAAUAUUUUAUUGAAAUGUGUUAGAUUUUUGUUAUCAAUCUAUUUUUUAAUUUUAAUUGUGCUAUUUUAUUUAUUUUGUUUAAUAUAACAAGGAUGUGGAGUCUGAACAGGGUGAAAUUUGGGUCAAAGGGAGGCAAUUUAUUAUGCCCCUGUUUAUAACUCCACAUACUUAAAAUUCCCUCAAUGUUAGGAUUUUCAUCUACUUGGAUAUUCAUGUUUGUACAUUUUUUUUAAAAUAUCAGAUGUAUACUAGCUAAUAUUGACUAUUAUUUAGAGCUCUGUAAUAAAAAAAAACAAAAUGUAAGCAGAGCUCUAGAUAAUAAGUAUGCAGGGUCGGAGAAAUCUUGGGUCAUUAACAAUUGAUUUGCUGAAAUUUUCAAGAAAGGGGAUUUAUUGGAAAUGCAUCUGAUAUAUUUAAUGUAUAAAACUAUAUUUAAAAAAAAAAGAUGUUAAGAUGAUGAGGAGAGCCACCUUGUCAGCCGGGAGAGCAGCUCUAAGGGAGAUGGUCAAUUUAAUCUUUACCAAGUCUGAGGCUUUACCAUGAAAAAUAUGUGGUUGUUAUAAUGAUGAUGUUUUCAUGGUGUUGGGAGUAAGACUUGGAUGUCUGAUAUUGUUAACAUGUUGGUUAUCAUCAGGUUUCCAUUGGGUUACUUGCUGGGAUAAAGCUGUUAUAAGUCGAAAGAGUUGCUGUAGCUGCCUUCCUUGUAUGGUAAAAUCCUCAGACUACAAUCCUGCAAACCAUUAGAUGAACUGUUGCUAUCUUUUGUAAAAAAAUCAGCAGAUAUUUGUCUUA
Molecule: long non-coding RNA, 1278 nt
Organism: Mytilus californianus (California mussel)
Lineage: Eukaryota; Metazoa; Mollusca; Bivalvia; Mytilida; Mytilidae
Exons: 4
Source: RefSeq, a predicted model, not a curated record